CUGCUGCCUUCCGUAGGAGUUUGGUCCGUGUCUCAGUACCAAUGUGGGGGGUUAACCUCUCAGUCCCCCUAUGUAUCGUCGCCUUGGUGAGCCGCUACCUCACCAACCAGCUAAUACAACGCAUGCCCAUCAUCAACCACCGGAGUUUUCAACCCCAUGCGAUGCCGCAUGAGAUAUUAUGGGGUAUUAGUACCAAUUUCUCAGUGUUAUCCCCCUGUUGAUGGUAGGUUGCAUACGCGUUACGCA
Molecule: ribosomal RNA, 246 nt
Filed under: uncultured bacterium
Lineage: Bacteria
Description: partial 16S ribosomal RNA
Source: RNAcentral